This is a long non-coding RNA of Carya illinoinensis, 2082 nucleotides long. RefSeq lists it as uncharacterized. The record is from RefSeq and is a predicted model, not a curated record. Lineage: Eukaryota; Viridiplantae; Streptophyta; Magnoliopsida; Fagales; Juglandaceae. The transcript is spliced from 8 exons.
CACAGGAAAACGUAUGAGCUUCUGAUUUUGGCUUCUUUUGUUGAGUUUGCAUGACAUGUGGGCCAGAUUACUUCUGGACCAUGUUGCUAAAUCGUACUGAGCGUGAACCUGAACAAAACCAGUGUCUUUUGCUCUAUGCAUGGGGAUUCAUUAGCAGUGUCUCCUGAACCACUAUCACUUUCUUUUGCUGAAUGACAUUUUGAAGCCUUGGCACGAUCCUUUGCCCGCACUCCUCCUUUCUCCUUGUUUUUUACACAUCAAAGUACGUUUUGAUGUUUUUAUAUUUGACUAUGAGUUUAAAGCUUUGGCUUUCAAUUUCCCAGCUUAAUGUUGGGGGUGAGUGUUAAUGUGGAAAGGUCCAACAUGUCUGUUUUGCAGAUAUGUUGGUGGAGCCUUUGAUGUUGAGUCCCUUGGGGAGAAUUUACUUGGUCAACUUGCUGGAAAUCAGGGAAUUUUAGUGAAUGUGUAUGAUGUCACAAACUCCUCGGAUCCCUUAAUCAUGUAUGGUCACCAAUAUCAAGAUGGUGACAUGUCUCUUUCUCAUGAGAGCAAGCUUGAUUUUGGAGAUCCUUUUAGGAAGUAUCAAAUGAUAUGCAGAUACCAUCAGAAGAUGAGUUGUCAUGGACAGCGCUCACCACUACGUUCUUGUUCUUUGUGAUUGGUUUACUGGUAGGUUAUAUCUUAUAUGGUGCAGAAAUUCACGUUGUUAAAGUUGAGGAUGAUUUCCAUGAAAUGGAAGAACUAAAAGUUCUAGCAGAAGCCGCAGAUGUAGCAAAAUCCCAGUUUCUAGCUAUUGUUUCUCAUGAAAUUAGAACAACCAUGUGAAUGGCAUCCUUGGAAUGCUUGCUCUGCUUCUAGAUAUGGAAUUAAGCUCAACUCAGAGGGAUUACGCUCAAACUGUGCAAGCCUGUGGGAAAGCAUUGAUAGUGUUAAUCAAUGAGGUGCUAGACUGUGCAAAAAUUGAGGCUGGCAAGUUAGAGCUGGAAGUAGUCCCAUUUGACCUCAUUCCAACUUCUAGACGAUGUCCAACAGUAGUUUAUUCAUCAUCGUUUGUUCAUCAAUAACAUGCUGGCAGUGUUUGUUUCCGAUAAAGUUCCUGACAUUGUAAUGGGUGAUCCAGGGAGGUUCAGGCAGAUUAUUACAAAUCUUGUGGGCAACUCUGUUAAGUUCAUCGAACGAGGACAUAUAUUUAUCCACCCCCUCACUUUUUAGAUGUGGUUCAAGUGCAAUGAUGAAGACCCACAUCAUUGCUGCUUUUGCUUGGAAACCAUGACCAGGUUACUCAUCUGCUUUAGUGUUUCCCCUGCAUUUCACGUCAUACAACUCAGUUUGCAUCUUACUCCAUCUUUUUAGUAUCCAAACUGGAGGGUUGCACAGCUACUAUUUUUCAAACAGGCAUAUGCUCAGCUAGGCGAAUUUUGGUUCUCUUGGAUUCCUCUGUUCAAGUUAUCACAUGGCUCAAAUUAAGGUGACUCAUAAAUUGAUAUACAGAACUAUUACAUUGUUGAUGGAAGCAGCUUUGAUAGUCAAUGCAAUAGUGGAUAUUUGCUCAAUAUUCAAUAUUUAACCAAACGCAUUUCUUACUCAUCAAGGGGCCCAGUGCUGCGAUCCCAAAUGCAUGAAUUUGUUGGGGAAGAGAAGAAUGAUGAUGCUUGGGUGCAGUGUUCUCUGCAACUGGAAAAGGCAUCAGACAAAGAGGGGUGGUUUGAUAUUCACAACAGUGAUAUGGCCAAGCUUGGGCUGAGCUGUAUGACAACGACAGUUUUCGCGCAUCAUGUUCGCCACCUUUCUUGAUCAAAAGUGAUAUGUCGAACUAUGAGUGCCAGUGUGAAUGAAAAGUCCCACAGAAAUAGAGAUAACCAAAAUUGGUAGCCCUUGGUUACCAUUAUAAUAGAGUAUAGUAAAUUAGUAGGUAAUGGUGAUGUUUUGUAUAUCAUAUAAAAAUUAGCUCAGCUUGUACUUGAUAUGACUUCCAUAGUGCACCACUCAGUGAGAAAAUAUAUAUUUGCGAAAGCAUGGUUGAAUUGACGCUUGACCGAUAUUAUUGAAUUGUUCAGAAUGGAUGAAACGAAAUUUUGUUGA